This 713-nucleotide ribosomal RNA is filed under the name Pseudogibellula formicarum. RNAcentral describes it as "partial large subunit ribosomal RNA". It matches the Rfam family "Eukaryotic large subunit ribosomal RNA", at positions 176 to 917 of the family's 3401-position model. Lineage: Eukaryota; Fungi; Ascomycota; Sordariomycetes; Hypocreales; Clavicipitaceae. The record is from RNAcentral.
CCUUCCUAGUUCCCUGGAACGGGACGCCAUAGAGGGUGAGAGCCCCGUCUGGUCGGAUGCCAAGCCUCUGUAAAGCUCCUUCGACGAGUCGAGUAGUUUGGGAAUGCUGCUCAAAAUGGGAGGUAUAUGUCUUCUAAAGCUAAAUAUUGGCCAGAGACCGAUAGCGCACAAGUAAAGUGAUCGAAAGAUGAAAAGCACUUUGAAAAGAGAGUUAAAAAGUACGUGAAAUUGUUGAAAGGGAAGCGCCCAUGACCAGACUUGGGCCCGGUGAAUCACCCGGCGUUCUCGCCGGUGCACUUUGCCGGGCACAGGCCAGCAUCAGUCUGGCGCGGGGGAUAAAGGCUCUGGGAAUGUGGCUCCUCCGGGAGUGUUAUAGCCCACUGCGCAAUACCCUGCGCCGGACUGAGGUACGCGCUUCCGCAAGGAUGCUGGCGUAAUGGUCAUCAGCGACCCGUCUUGAAACACGGACCAAGGAGUCGUCUUCGUAUGCGAGUGUUCGGGUGUCAAACCCCUACGCGGAAUGAAAGUGAACGCAGGUGAGAGCUUCGGCGCAUCAUCGACCGAUCCUGAUGUUCUCGGAUGGAUUUGAGUAAGAGCAUACGGGGCCGGACCCGAAAGAAGGUGAACUAUGCCUGUAUAGGGUGAAGCCAGAGGAAACUCUGGUGGAGGCUCGCAGCGGUUCUGACGUGCGAAUCGAUCGUCAAAUAUGGGCA